Molecule: transfer RNA, 65 nt
Filed under: Raeta sp.
Lineage: Eukaryota; Metazoa; Mollusca; Bivalvia; Venerida; Anatinellidae
Description: tRNA-Gln
Source: RNAcentral
AGCAGGGAGGUGUUUUGCACAAAAAAUUUUGGUUUUUUAGGAGGUUUUAGACGGACCCCCUGCUG